This 466-nucleotide ribosomal RNA is filed under the name uncultured bacterium. RNAcentral describes it as "partial 16S ribosomal RNA". It matches the Rfam family "Bacterial small subunit ribosomal RNA", at positions 28 to 507 of the family's 1533-position model. The record is from RNAcentral.
GACGAACGCUGGCGGCGUGCUUAACACAUGCAAGUCGAACGGAAAGGCCCUGCUUUUGUGGGGUGCUCGAGUGGCGAACGGGUGAGUAACACGUGAGUAACCUGCCCUUGACUUUGGGAUAACUUCAGGAAACUGGGGCUAAUACCGGAUAGGAGCUCCUGCUGCAUGGUGGGGGUUGGAAAGUUGCGGCGGUUGGGGAUGGACUCGCGGCUUAUCAGCUUGUUGGUGGGGUAGUGGCUUACCAAGGCUGUGACGGGUAGCCGGCGUGAGAGGGUGACCGGCCACAUUGGGACUGGGAUGCGGCGGAGGCGAAUGGGGGAGACAGAAGUGGGGUAUAUUGCACAAUGCGCGGAAGGGUGAUGCAGCAGCGCCGUGGGAGAGAUCAGUGUUUGGGGGAUAUAAAACGUGUGCGCGUGAAGCGAAGCGAGAGACGCGAAAAUGGGAAAAAGAGCCCGCUAUCAACGUG